GGGAGUCGGUCUCGUAGUGACCUGCGGAGGGAUCAUUA
RNAcentral lists this ribosomal RNA (38 nucleotides) under Schizothyrium pomi. Its description in RNAcentral is "partial 18S ribosomal RNA". The record is from RNAcentral. Lineage: Eukaryota; Fungi; Ascomycota; Dothideomycetes; Mycosphaerellales; Schizothyriaceae.